UCUUUAUGGGGUGACUGCGUACCUUUUGUAUAAUGGGUCAGCGACUUAUAUUCUGUAGCAAGGUUAACCGAAUAGGGGAGCCGAAGGGAAACCGAGUCUUAACUGGGCGUUAAGUUGCAGGGUAUAGACCCGAAACCCGGUGAUCUAGCCAUGGGCAGGUUGAAGGUUGGGUAACACUAACUGGAGGACCGAACCGACUAAUGUUGAAAAAUUAGCGGAUGACUUGUGGCUGGGGGUGAAAGGCCAAUCAAACCGGGAGAUAGCUGGUUCUCCCCGAAAGCUAUUUAGGUAGCGCCUCGUGAACUCAUCUCCGGGGGUAGAGCACUGUUUCGGCAAGGGGGUCAUCCCGACUUACCAACCCGAUGCAAACUGCGAAUACCGGAGAAUGUUAUCACGGGAGACACACGGCGGGUGCUAACGUCCGUCGUGAAGAGGGAAACAACCCAGACCGCCAGCUAAGGUCCCAAAGUCAUGGUUAAGUGGGAAACGAUGUGGGAAGGCCCAGACAGCCAGGAUGUUGGCUUAGAAGCAGCCAUCAUUUAAAGAAAGCGUAAUAGCUCACUGGUCGAGUCGGCCUGCGCGGAAGAUGUAACGGGGCUAAACCAUGCACCGAAGCUGCGGCAGCGACGCUUAUGCGUUGUUGGGUAGGGGAGCGUUCUGUAAGCCUGUGAAGGUGUGCUGUGAGGCAUGCUGGAGGUAUCAGAAGUGCGAAUGCUGACAUAAGUAACGAUAAAGCGGGUGAAAAGCCCGCUCGCCGGAAGACCAAGGGUUCCUGUCCAACGUUAAUCGGGGCAGGGUGAGUCGACCCCUAAGGCGAGGCCGAAAGGCGUAGUCGAUGGGAAACAGGUUAAUAUUCCUGUACUUGGUGUUACUGCGAAGGGGGGACGGAGAAGGCUAUGUUGGCCGGGCGACGGUUGUCCCGGUUUAAGCGUGUAGGCUGGUUUUCCAGGCAAAUCCGGAAAAUCAAGGCUGAGGCGUGAUGACGAGGCACUACGGUGCUGAAGCAACAAAUGCCCUGCUUCCAGGAAAAGCCUCUAAGCAUCAGGUAACAUCAAAUCGUACCCCAAACCGACACAGGUGGUCAGGUAGAGAAUACCAAGGCGCUUGAGAGAACUCGGGUGAAGGAACUAGGCAAAAUGGUGCCGUAACUUCGGGAGAAGGCACGCUGAUAUGUAGGUGAAGUCCCUCGCGGAUGGAGCUGAAAUCAGUCGAAGAUACCAGCUGGCUGCAACUGUUUAUUAAAAACACAGCACUGUGCAAACACGAAAGUGGACGUAUACGGUGUGACGCCUGCCCGGUGCCGGAAGGUUAAUUGAUGGGGUCAGCGCAAGCGAAGCUCUUGAUCGAAGCCCCGGUAAACGGCGGCCGUAACUAUAACGGUCCUAAGGUAGCGAAAUUCCUUGUCGGGUAAGUUCCGACCUGCACGAAUGGCGUAAUGAUGGCCAGGCUGUCUCCACCCGAGACUCAGUGAAAUUGAACUCGCUGUGAAGAUGCAGUGUACCCGCGGCAAGACGGAAAGACCCCGUGAACCUUUACUAUAGCUUGACACUGAACAUUGAGCCUUGAUGUGUAGGAUAGGUGGGAGGCUUAGAAGUGUGGACGCCAGUCUGCAUGGAGCCGACCUUGAAAUACCACCCUUUAAUGUUUGAUGUUCUAACGUUGACCCGUAAUCCGGGUUGCGGACAGUGUCUGGUGGGUAGUUUGACUGGGGCGGUCUCCUC
RNAcentral lists this ribosomal RNA (1721 nucleotides) under Escherichia coli. Its description in RNAcentral is "partial 23S ribosomal RNA". It matches the Rfam family "Bacterial large subunit ribosomal RNA", at positions 582 to 2289 of the family's 2925-position model. The record is from RNAcentral. Lineage: Bacteria; Pseudomonadati; Pseudomonadota; Gammaproteobacteria; Enterobacterales; Enterobacteriaceae.